AUGCCCCUAAGUCCAGGCCAUUCAGGCGUAGGCGAUGGGAAGCAGGUUCAAUAUUCCUGCACCGCCGAUGGGCGAUUAAGACGCGAUGGAGUACUCGGAAAGUUAGAUCAGCCGUCGAUUGGAAGUGACGGUUCAAGCCCGUAGGGGUGUGGCCAGGCAAACCCGGCCGCGCAACCUGAAAGGUGAUGAGACGUGGAGGCUUCGGCCGAAGCGGAUUGAUUGACACUCGGCCGACAAGAAAAGCUUCUAGCGAGCCCAUAGGCGACCGUAUCGGAAACCGACACAGGUGGGAGGGUAGAAUAUACCAAGGCGCGCGAGAGAAACCUCGUUAAGGAACUCGGCAAUCUAGCCCCGUAACUUCGGAAGAAGGGGUCCUGCAGACCGUCAGUUUAACUACGAAGCGGACCGCAGGCGCAGUGAAAGGGCCCAGGCGACUGUUUAUCAAAAACACAGCACUAUGCCAACUCGCAAGAGGAUGUAUAUGGUGUGACACGUGACCAAUGCCGUAAGGUUAAGGCAAGGGGUUAGCCGCAAGGCGAAGCUCUGAACCGAAGCCCCGGUGAAUGUCGGCCGUAACUAUAACGGUCCUAAGGUAGCGAAAUUCCUUGUCGGGUAAGUUCCGACCUGCACGAAUCGUGUAACGAUCUGGGCGCUGUCUCAACGAGGAUCUCGGUGAAGUUGUAAUUCCGGUGAAAAUGCCGGAUACCCGCAGUAGGACGGUAAGACCCUGUGAACCUUUACUGUAUCUGAUAUUGGGUUUUGGUUGGUUAUAUGUAGCAUAGCUGGGAGGCUGUGAAGCGAUCUCGUCAGGGACCGCGGAGCCGUCAGUGAAAUACCAGUUUUAAUUAACCGGAAUUCUAACCGCGAGCCGUGCAACCGGCUCCGGGACCGUGUCAGAGGGUCAGUUUGACUGGGGCGGUUUCCUCCCAAAAGAUAACGGAGGAGUUCUAAGGUCACCUCAGCAUGGUCGGCAAUCAUGCGUAGAGCGUAUAGGUAGAAGGUGGCUUGACUGCGAGACCCACAAGUCGAGCAGGUGCGAAAGCAGGACUAAGUGAUCCGGCGGUUGCUAGUGGUAGCGCCGUCGCUCAACGGACAAAAGGUACUCCGGGGAUAACAGGCUUAUCGCCGCCAAGAGUCCAUAUCGACGCGGCGGUUUGGCACCUCGAUGUCGGCUCAUCACAUCCUGGGGCUGAAGAAGGUCCCGAGGGUUUGGCUGUUCGCCAAUUAAAGUGGUACGCGAGCUGGGUUCAAAACGUCGUGAGACAGUUUGGUCCAUAUCCACUGUGGGCGUUGGAGAUUUGAGGAGAACAUUCCUUAGUACGAGAGGACCGGGAAUGACGCACCUCUGGUGUUUCGGUUGUCGCGCCAGCGGCAUCGCCGAGUAGCUAUGUGCGGAAUGGAUAAGCUCUGAAUGCAUCUAAGAGCCAAGCCGACUUCAAGAUUGGAUCUCCCUUGCUGGUUCGCCAGCACUAAAGGCCGGUUGAAAACUACGACCUUGAUAGGGCGGGUGUGUACGUGCUGCGAGGCAUUUAGCUAACCGCUACUAAUCAGCCGUGAGGCUUGACC
RNAcentral lists this ribosomal RNA (1566 nucleotides) under metagenome. Its description in RNAcentral is "bacterial LSU rRNA". It matches the Rfam family "Bacterial large subunit ribosomal RNA", at positions 1384 to 2925 of the family's 2925-position model. The record is from RNAcentral.